Molecule: transfer RNA, 82 nt
Filed under: Daphnia pulicaria
Lineage: Eukaryota; Metazoa; Arthropoda; Branchiopoda; Diplostraca; Daphniidae
Description: tRNA-Ser
Rfam family: tRNA
About the family: Transfer RNA (tRNA) molecules are approximately 80 nucleotides in length. Their secondary structure includes four short double-helical elements and three loops (D, anti-codon, and T loops).
Source: RNAcentral
GACGAGGUGACCGAGCGGUUAAGGUGAUGGACUGCUAAUCCAUUGUGCAUUGCACGCAUAGAUUCGAAUCCCAUCCUCGUCG